UGGGGAAUAUUGCGCAAUGGGCGAAAGCCUGACGCAGCGACGCCGCGUGGGUGAUGAAGGCCUUCGGGUCGUAAAGCCCUGUCGCAGGGGAAGAAUAAGCGUACGGAUAAUACCCGUGCGCCCUGACGGGACCCUGCAAGAAAGCACCGGCUAACUCUGCGCCAGCCGCCGCGGUAAUACAGAGGGGGCAAGCGUUGUUCGGAAUUACUGGGCGUAAAGGGCGCGUAGGCGGCCUCCUAAGUCGAACGUGAAAUCCCCGGGCUCAACCCGGGAACUGCGUCCGAGACUGGAAGGCUCGAAUCCGGGAGAGGGAUGUGGAAUUCCAGGUGUAGCGGUGAAAUGCGUAGAUAUCUGGAGGAACAUCGGUGGCGAAGGCGGCAUCCUGGACCGGUAUCGACGCUGAGGCGCGAAAGCCAGGGGAGCAAA
This 426-nucleotide ribosomal RNA is filed under the name uncultured bacterium. RNAcentral's name for it is "bacterial SSU rRNA". It matches the Rfam family "Bacterial small subunit ribosomal RNA", at positions 355 to 772 of the family's 1533-position model. The record is from RNAcentral.